This 302-nucleotide long non-coding RNA is filed under the name Ananas comosus (pineapple). Its description in RNAcentral is "long non-coding RNA (ACOM_LNC013279)". The record is from RNAcentral. Lineage: Eukaryota; Viridiplantae; Streptophyta; Magnoliopsida; Poales; Bromeliaceae.
AAAUUUUGACAUUAAAAAAAAUUUAUAUUGCCCGUGUCACGCCCCGGAUUACUACGUUUUUCCGAACAUGCCAACAGACCCGCCAUAUACAUCAAAUUUUUUCGUAUAUACGAAACGAUAACUGUACCUGUAAACAAAUCAUAGCUACAACCAUAAGUAUAAAGCUACUAAAACUGAAACAUAUACAUAAAAGCAUACUAAACCCAUUGUACAUACAAUAUUCACAAUACAACCUCGCUCCAGCCAGUACAACAAAAUAUAAUAGUAUGUACAAAAAAACAACCCAAAACUACCUCUGAAGG